UUCCCCUAGUAACUGCGAGUGAAGCGGGAAAAGCUCAAAUUUAAAAUCUGGCAGUCUUUGGCUGUCCGAGUUGUAAUCUAGAGAAGCAUUAUCCGCGCUGGACCGUGUACAAGUCUCCUGGAAUGGAGCGUCAUAGAGGGUGAGAAUCCCGUCUUUGACACGGACUGCCAGGGCUUUGUGAUGUGCUCUCAAAGAGUCGAGUUGUUUGGGAAUGCAGCUCAAAAUGGGUGGUAAAUUCCAUCUAAAGCUAAAUAUUGGCGAGAGACCGAUAGCGAACAAGUACCGUGAGGGAAAGAUGAAAAGAACUUUGGAAAGAGAGUUAAACAGUACGUGAAAUUGCUGAAAGGGAAACGCUUGAAGUCAGUCACAUUGGCCAGAGAUCAACCUUGCAUUUCUUUGCUUGGCUUACUUUCUGGCCAAUGGGUCAGCAUCAAUUUUGGCUGGUGGAAAAAGUUCAAGGGAAUGUGGCAUCUUUUUUGGAUGUGUUAUAGCCUUUGUUCGCAUGCAUCAGUUGGGAUUGAGGAACUCAGCAUGCCGCAAGGCCGGGUUUUUAUUAACCACGUUACAUGCUUAGGAUGCUGGCGUAAUGGCUUUAAUCGACCCGUCUUGAAACACGGACCAAGGAGUCUAACAUGCCUGCGAGUGUUUGGGUGAAAAACCCGAGCGCGUAAUGAAAGUGAAAGUUGAGAUCCCUGUCGUGGGGAGCAUUGACGCCCAGAUCUGACCUUUUGUGACGAUUCUGCGGUAGAGCAUGUAUGUUGGGACCCGAAAGAUGGUGAACUAUGCCUGAAUAGGGUGAAGCCAGAGGAAACUCUGGUGGAGGCUCGUAGCGAUUCUGACGUGCAAAUCGAUCGUCAAAUUUGGGUAUAGGGGCGAAAGACU
Molecule: ribosomal RNA, 882 nt
Filed under: Laccaria sp. 3 TM02_103
Lineage: Eukaryota; Fungi; Basidiomycota; Agaricomycetes; Agaricales; Hydnangiaceae
Description: eukaryotic LSU rRNA
Rfam family: Eukaryotic large subunit ribosomal RNA
Source: RNAcentral